AAAAGAAACUAACAAGGAUUCCCCUAGUAACUGCGAGUGAAGCGGGAAAAGCUCAAAUUUAAAAUCUGGCGGUUUCACCGUCCGAGUUGUAAUCUAGAGAAGUGUUAUCCGUGCUGGACCGUGUACAAGUCUCUUGGAAUAGAGCGUCAUAGAGGGUGAGAAUCCCGUCUUUGCCACGGACUGCCAGUGCAUUGUGAUGCGCUCUCAACGAGUCGAGUUGUUUG
RNAcentral lists this ribosomal RNA (224 nucleotides) under uncultured fungus. Its description in RNAcentral is "partial 28S ribosomal RNA". It matches the Rfam family "Eukaryotic large subunit ribosomal RNA", at positions 57 to 276 of the family's 3401-position model. The record is from RNAcentral. Lineage: Eukaryota; Fungi.